ACCCUUCAUGCGCUUCCCCUGCCCCGGGCGCGCCGGGCCUGGAACAGGACUGCCACUGUUGAGUCUGUGGGAAUAUGAAUCAGCAGCAGCAGAGAAUGGCUGCAGUUGGGACAGACAAAGAGCUCAGUGACCUGCUGGACUUCAGUAUGAUGUUUCCCCUGCCAGUGGCUAAUGGAAAAAACAGACCCACGACCCUUGCAAGCACUCAGUUUGGAGGAUCAGGCUUGGAUGAAAGACCGGGAUCAGGUUCCUGGGGAACGGCAGAUCAAAACAGCUCCACGUUUGACCAAGGAAGGCAGAGCUAUGGCGAAGGCCCCCACUACGGUGAGCACCGGGAGCUGCCAUCCCACAACAGCAUCUCCUCAUCUCCAUUCCUGGGAGCUGGACUCGUGGGGAAGAGCAGUGAAAGAGCCUCAUACUCCACGUUUGGAAGAGACACAGGGAUGCCAGGACUAAACCAGCCUGGUUUCCUGCCCAGCGAGAUGGGAAUCGCCAGCCCGAGCACGCUUUCCCCCACUGGGGGCAAAGGAGGGUCUCAGUAUUUUUCUUACCCCAACAAUCCUCGCAGGAGAGGUGCUGAGAGCAGCAUAGAUGGACAGCCCAAAAAGGUUCGGAAGGUGCCUCCUGGACUCCCCUCCUCGGUGUAUCCAUCCAACUCAGGUGAUGACUACAGCAGGGAUCCAGCUGGAUAUACUCCCUCGAAACCUCCCAGCACUGUGUAUCCUGGAGCCUUUUACAUGACAGAUGGACUCCAUAACUCGCCAGACCUGUGGAGUUCCCCGGGUGCCAUGAGCCAGUCGAGUUACGGUGCCAUGCUGGGCAGCUCCUCGUCCCCGCUCCCGCAGUCCAGUGGCUUCAACAGUUUACAUCAGCAUGAACGCAUGAACUACCAGCUGCAUUCAGGAGAGGUGAACGGUGGACUCCCCUCGGUGUCCGGCUUCUCCUCAGCGUCCACAGCGUACGGAGUGUCCAGUCACACCCCCCCGAUCAGCGGCACAGACAACAUGAUGGGUAACAGAGGAACCACAGCCGGGAGCUCUGGAGACGCUCUUGGGAAGGCUCUGGCCUCGAUUUACUCCCCCGACCACUCUAGCAAUAACUUCUCCUCCAACCCCUCCACCCCGGUCGGGUCCCCACAGGGCCUUGCAGGCUCGUCGCAGUGGCCGCGGGCGGGUGGAGCGGGUGCCUUAUCUCCCAGCUACGAAGGGAGCCUCCACACUUUGCAAAACAAAAUGGAAGACAGGUUGGAUGAAGCCAUCCACGUGCUGAGGAACCACGCUGUGGGCCAGACCUCUGCCAUGCCCAGCAACCACGGGGACAUGCACGGGCUGCUGGGCUCAGCACCAGCACACAGUGCUGCUGUGGGCAGCCUGGGCCAGGCCUUCCCCGCCUCAGUCAUGGCCCUGGGGAACAGGCACCCGAGUCUGGUGGGAGGAGGCCACCCUGAAGAUGGGUUGUCCAGCAACCCCAGCUUGCUCCACAACCAUGUCACUCUUCCAUCACAGCCCAGCUCGCUCCCAGACCUCAGCAGGCAGCAGGACACGUACAGUGGCUUGUCCGGGGGGCUGGGGCGCAGCAGCGUCUCCUCAGGAACGAGCGAAAUAAAGAGGGAAGAGAAGGAGGAUGAAGAGAACACGUCAGUGGCAGAUAACUCAGAAGAGGAGAAGAAGGAGCUGAAACCCUCCCGGAACAGAACAAGGUGCUCUUUGAACAGUCAAGAUGAGGAUGAGGAGGACGAUCUUCUUCCCCCAGAGCAAAAAGCCGAGAGAGAGAGAGAAAGGAGGGUCGCCAAUAAUGCCCGUGAGCGCCUGCGGGUUCGUGACAUCAACGAGGCCUUUAAAGAGCUCGGACGCAUGUGCCAACUGCACCUAAACAGCGAAAAACCGCAGACCAAACUGCUAAUCCUACACCAGGCCGUAUCAGUCAUACUGAACCUGGAGCAACAAGUUAGAGCAGUACAGACGAGGCCUUGUCACUGGAGGACAAAGAUCUGAGGGACCGGGAGAGGAGAAUGGCCAAUAACGCCAGGGAAAGGGUGCGUGUGCGGGACAUUAACGAGGCCUUUAAAGAACUGGGACGCAUGUGCCAGAUGCACUUAAAAACGGACAAAGCACAGACCAAACUGAUCAUCCUACAGCAAGCGGUGCAGGUCAUUCUGGGCCUGGAGCAGCAAGUACGAGAGCGCAAUCUGAACCCAAAAGCGGCCUGCUUGAAGCGUCGGGAAGAGGAGAAAGUGUCCGGAGUGGUUGGAGACCCCCAGAUGACACUGUCAGCUUCACAUCCUGGUCUAGGAGACGGUCACAACCCUGUUGGACACAUGUAAAGAUCUUUUUGUUCCUCUGGAUACGGAGAUGUGUAGGAAGAAAACCCUCGGUGUGACCUGCAAGCCUGUUGAACCAUAAACUGUAGUACUGCUCAUACUGACACACACAGACGGAUCCUGGUGUGACGUAAGGGGUGGAAAAAACACUUUGUCAGAAACAAAAUGGAAACAAAAAAUUGCCUUAAGUAUAAAGUGCAGAACAGUCAAUACAUAUCACUCAGUUAGGAGGGGGUGGCGUGUUCUCUUGGCUUGUUCACAAGCAGCCAGCAGCAAAAUUGUGCCUAAGCUUGAUAUUUCUUUUUUAAAAAAAAAGAACAUUAGUUAUGAGAUUUUUUUAUGUAGAACAAAUAGCAAUGCCUUUUGGUUUUUUUAGCUUCUUUUGCAUAUGUUUUGUAAGCAAUGAAAAUUUUUUUUUUUGUAUAAAAACAUGUCUUGUACCCUCCGCUUUUCUGCUGCUGUUUCUAUAGUUAACGUUGCAUCUUUAGGAUCAACCAGAAUAUUAAAAUUGUAUUAAGAGAGACUGGAUAUAAAGAGAGGAAUUCUCAGAUUCGGCUCGGAAAGCCACUAAAAGCGAAUGUAGCCACAGUGAGGGAAUGUUCUUCCUUGCCUGGCUUGUACCUUCCACGACAAAAAACAAACAAACUCAUGUGCUGAAUUCACCGUCUCUUUGCUUCGGCCACUUCUGAUUUGGGAAAAGGAAGUUAAUGUAAAGCGAGUGGCAGCAGUGCUCCCGCUCCCCCGGGCCAUGACCCAGCUGCUCAGCAAGGUUUGCUUUGUCCCCGGAGAUCCCGAGGCCCCACGGCUCCGUGUGCGAGAGGACACGGCUGUUCCAGAGCGUCACCGUGGGGAGGAUGAGCUGCUGGGAGAGAGCAGGCCCUGGGUGCAGGAGAACCAAGGGACUGAGGCGCUUCCAGGUGAGCAGAGCAGCCAGGGAUGCACGAGGAAAGCGUCUCUUCCCACAUGCCAGAGCUGCCAGAGACACUUCCAGGAGCAGCACUGAACAAAGACCAACUGAACAAAGCUGGAGCACUGGGAAGAGCUGGAGGCAGCCGAAGCACGGCAGCAGCACUGGGAUACAGGGCCAGGAAGCUGGGCAGCAGCAGACCUGAGGAUGCUGGAGGCAGGAAAGGAGCAAUGAUCUGGCUCACUCCAGCCUUGGCAAAGCCAUGACCAGCAGCAGGAUCCCUUCUUGUAUCGGAAAUGCAAAAUGCUGGCUCGGGAAGAAGGGUGGCUUCACACCCUGCUGUCACCUGCUGUCACAUCUCCCAGGCAUCCUUGGAGGCAAACUGAGCUCAGCACUGUGCCAUGGGACAAGAGUGGGCACCAUCACCUGCACCUGGUCACCUGGGCUCCUCUCUUGGCACUGGGAAGGAGGGCAGCAGGAGUGCUCAUCCUGCACCCUGUGCUCCAAGGGCAGCCAUCCCUUCACUCCAAGGAAUUCCCAGUCACUCCAGACCACUCUGGUGUGCUCAGCAGGAAGAGAAUCCCUGGCAGCCCCUCUGGCUCCAGAGGUGUGGAGCAAACAGAGGUGCUGGGCAGUGCUGAGCUGCAGCAGCUGGUCUGGAAAUGGCCAUGGAAAAAUGUUCACCAGGAAUUUACUCUUGGUUCUUCCCUCUCCUUCCCCUUCUGAAACAUUUUGUGCCUGGCUCCUCUCCGCUCCACAGAGCCCAGUCAGGCAGGGUGGCACACGGGACGUGGGUGCUGGUCUGGGGGGAUGUGGGGAACUCCCCUCUCCCCUGCAGGGUCCAUCUCUCCCGUGCUGCUCCAGCCUGGGCUCCUGGGGAAGCUGUGUUGCUUUGGCAUGGGGAAAGGGAGGGACUGGCAAACAGAAUUAGGUCCUGUGGCACUUCCCAGCAGCCCCAGGCUUUGCCAUAACCUGCUGUUCCUCCAUGCUCACAGCUGUGCUUCGUGCUCUGGCAAACCUUGCUGGAAGUGCUCAGGGCAGUGCUUAUCUCCCACCCACACCUGGGCACCAUGGCCCUCGUUCCCUGUCACAGCUCCAAGCUGAGCCACUCCAAGUGCCAGGGCAGGAUGGGACUGUCCCUGCUGCCCCUGGUCCUGCCCUGGAGCUCCCCAACAUCCAACCACCGCUCUGAAGCUUUUGGGUGCUCCUGGCUUUCCCCAGCUUGCUGCUUCCACCAUUCCUUCUGCAUGGAGAGAGCUCAGCAGCCCCAGCUCUCUCCCUGGGAAGGCCAGGAAAGCUCAGUGGUUCCGGUAACCCAGGUUCUUGCCUGUGUCAACAGACACAUUUUAGCCUAAUCAGCUCAUCAGGUUAUGACACUUCCCUCCCUUGGGUUCUUCUGGCUGCUGAAGCAGUUGGCAAGGAGGGGGAAGAGGUUUUCCUCCAUGUGUGACAGCCUUGACUCCUAUUCAUGCUCUGGUGGGCAAACUGGAAGGCUCAGCAUCUGCUUUUUGUUUACUUCACGAGAGUUCCUGCUCCAUUAGUGAGACAGUGCUGGGGCUGCAAAGUACCCACUGCUCAGGGGUUUUGGCUGGCUCAGUGCCCCUGUCCCAGGGCCAGGAGGGAUGGAGCAGUGUCCCAGCCCUGGAAAGCUUGAAACCCUACAAAAAAUAAAAGUGCUUCACAAACCUUUUGAAUUUGCCCCAAGAAUUGGAGGUGGCAGUCAUGGACAACUGGACUUAAAGGGACUAGCCAAGAAAAUUCCAUAAAUUCAACAAAAUUGGAAAUCUGAGAAGAUGUAUGAGUUGUUCAUACAACUGUGUGAGUUGUUCACAAAUUUGCUGAACUUCAUCCCCUCUGAGUCCUGCAGGCCAGGGGGGAAUCCCAAUGAGCCAGAACCUUUCUCAUCAUCCCUGAAUCCCCAGGCAUUGCAACAAAAAUGGGGUUUUUAAGCGGCAUUUUGGUGACUUAAGACGUUACUUUGACAGCAAAUCCAGCCAACUUCCUUCCAUGGCAAGGCUUGGGUGAAGAUCCCUGAGCAUAAGCCCUCGGAGCCAGGGUUUGGAGAGAUCAUCUCAAAAGCACAAUGUAGGGGGUGGCAGUGCUGUCCCUGGAGCUGCCUCGAUGGCAGCCCAGUGGCCUCAGUGGCAUCUCUGCUUUCCAGGUGCUCAGGGAACAAUUGGGAAGAGCAGCAAGGAAAAAUUCCUUUGUCUUGCCAGUGUGUUUGGCUCAGUGUGAACAUGGUGCCUGUAACCUGCCAGGGGAAGUGGCUUUUCUAAAAACUAUGACUGCCAGGUGCUUUCCCCAAAAUACCACCAGCCCAGCCCUGAAAUGUCACCCUGUAGCAAUGAAACUCUUGUCUUUAGCUGUUGUGAUCAGCGAGGGCCAGGCCUGCACCCUCCCCAGCCCACAGCCCUGCUCCAUUCCACUUGGGAUCUUACAGAUCCCCAGACCUGCUCCUCUGCCUGGCUGUGUGUCCCCCCCAGCAGUGGUGCUGCCAGGAGAGGUGUCACGGGUGGGUGACCUGCUGUGCAGUGCCAUUUAUUCCAUUUUCUCCUUCCUCUCUUAGCCUUUGCUUGCAUGGCUGCUCCUGGGGACGUGUGCCCUCCUCUUUGGGGGCCGCUGAGCCCUGCCAAAGCUUCCUUCAUCAGACAGAGGGACUGUCUUCCCUUCUGUGCAGCUUCUAGUUCCUCUUUCCCCAGGCUGCAUCUCCCAGUGAAGCAGCACAACUGGGACACUGCCAUGGGACAUUUCUUGUGUCCCCAGCCCAGAAGCCCCCUCUUGCCUCGCUCAGCCAGCCCUCUGCCUCCCUGCACACAAGUUGUGCAUGCCACAGUACUGGGGAGUGUCUGGAGUCCAGUCUGUGAACAGUAAAACUGCAGAUUUUUGUUUUCUCCCUUUUCACCUGCUUUUUCCCCAGAGCAAAGCAGCUGCAGCCUCGCAUGUGUUGGUGCUCAGGCAGUGGUGGCAGCCUGGCUGCUCAAGCUCACAGCCCCAGGGAGCAGAAUUCCAGCUGUUUGGCAUGUUUGGCUGUCUGCCUGUGAGCCCUCAGCAGAUCUACUCACAGCCCCAGCCAGCUCAGGACUGUCUGCUCCCCUGCUUUCACACACAGAGGUGUGCUGGCAGCAAGGAUGGAAUCAAGCCGUGGUUUCCUCAGAGUCAGUGCAGAAACUGCUCUCCAAGGUCCUUUGUGUCUCACCAGUGUCCCUACUGAAGCCAGCAGAGCCUUUGGGCACUUGCUGGGUGGUUCCAGUUGUGGGGACUUGAGAAACAGGGGCAUUGGAACCCCCCCAAUCCCCUGCCCCCCUUGAGCUUUGCUGCCAACUUUGGGGCCAGUGGAACCCGAGUUCCUCUUGCAGGCCCUGCUGUGCUACAGUGGGGGGCCUGGGCCAGCUCCAGUUCAUCCCUGGGCUUUGGGAGGUGAAACAAAACUCGGGAUGGAGCUGAGCCUUCAGCCCCCAGCUGCAGUGUUGGCUAACCCAGAGCAAGCCCUGGCCACUGGACUCUCCCUUUCCUGCCCAACACCAGCAAUAGCAAGGCCUGAUUUCUGUACCCCGAGCUUGCACAAGGUCUUUGCCCUGUUAAAAAUCCUAUGCAAAUCUUAUCCCUCUCCCCUUUCCCAGGGCUCUGCAGAUCCCAGCCCAGCCCAUUCUCUCUGCUCUUUUCUGAGAUUGCUCCUGAGUUCCUGCUCCCCUGCUGCCCUCAGGGUCCAGCUUCAUUCCUGGCAGAUCCAAAAGCAUUUGGAGACCUGUGCCCUGGAGCUGGGAGGGGGCAGAUGAGACUGUAGGAACACCCAGCUCAUACUGAGAACUGAACUGGAGGGGACAAGGCCUGGUCCUGGGGCUCUUCCACACACCCUCCACCCUCCUGUGCCUUCUGCUCAAUGCUGGUGGGGCACUGCCAGCAUCCUUCAUCCCCCCGGCCCCCCCAAAAGGAGAAGCUCAGUUCCACCUUGUUGCUGCCCAGACUGCCCUGUUCUAACACCUGAGCCUCAGGCUUGGCUGGGGCUGCUCUUCCUUCAGCUGCCCCAAGCCUGAAGGGGUGUUUCCCUUCCUCCCACGAUCCCCAAUCUCUCCAGCCAGCACCUCUGAGCUGUUGCCCUUUGCAGAGGGGCAGCCCAUGCCAGCAGCUGCCCAUCAGCUGGGGUGCAGGCAGGAGGAUUUGGGGGGUGGGUGCUGCCGCUGUCCCACAGCACGGCUGCCUCUCCCUGUGCUUGGGGCAGGUGUUGGGGGACCUGGUGCUCUGUACUUUGAUUUCCAGGACAGUUCAGCCCUUUUGGGGAGCCAGCACUGCUGUGCCUUGGCCUGCAGGUCUCCCAGGAGGAGGUGGGCUCUGGUUAGGAGGGUGCAGGCUCCACGUGAGCUUCUGCCAAACCUUGUGUGUCCAUCUGCAGCCCUGCUCCAGGCCAAGGGCAGUCCUGUCGUGGGUCUCCACAUCGGUAUCUGUGUCCCCCUGGUUUUGUACCCCUCUUGCUCCUCAGGGCUCUCCAUUCCCACCCUGGCCCAGACAAGCCCCUGCCAUGGUGGAGGGGGCUGUCACACACCCUGGGACAGCUCAGCACGGCUGCAGCACCAGCUCAGGAGAGCAAAGGGGUUUCUGCUCCCCAAGGGGGUGUUCUGGUACCAAGGCCUUUUGCCAAAGAGCAUCCCCUGCAUCCCUGGGCUGAGCCCGGGGGAGCCGUGGAGCUCCGGGAGCAGCGAGCUGGGGACACUGCGGGUCUCCCUUCCCGGGACCACGUCUUCCCAAGUCACUUGAUCCCACCAGCUUUUGAGCAAACCUUGUGGCAUGGAGCCACUCAGGAGGGAAGGAGCCAUGGGAAACCACGCACCAGCCACUGUUGGUGUGCCAGGAGAGGGGAAAGAGGCACCUGGUGAGGCAGGACAGGGAAGAUCCCAACCCCACGCGUGGGAAUGACCCGUGGGGUGCCGAGGCCUCCAGCUCUCUGGGGAAACAAAGCAUUCCUGGGAUGUUCUUUCUCUAUAUUUUUGUAGGAAUGGGGGGUGGGAGAGCAGAUGGGAGAUGCCUGCGGAAGUUGUUUAUUUUUAACCCUGUAGAAAGUUUUGGGUUGUUUUUGGUUUUUGGCCUUUAAAAUAAAAAAUGGUCCUUGCUUUUGAUGUUUAUGCUGCCUACCUGUAAAUCCAGAUGUACUUAAGUGGCUGAAAUCCUUGUUCUUAAAUCAGAUACACAUUAUAGUUUUGAACUAUAUAUAUAGUAAAUAUAUAUAUAUAUAUGCCUAACCCAGCAAAAAAAAAAAAAAUAAAUAAAGUAUUUGGGGGUGGGAAAUGCGUUGCUCUUUGAAAUGAAUCACAAUUGGGGGAUGAAAUUGUGUUUCUGAGUGCCUCAAGAUAUGAAUUGUUUUCCUUUUUUUAAAUAAUUUUAUACAAGUGUCAAAACAGCUGGCUGGAUUAUUUGGAAUUUUUAAAUAAUCCUAACUUUUUUAAAGUAGAUUUUGAGAACUGUCCUGUAUAUAACAGUAAUGUAGCAAUAAAUGUGACAUUUUAUAACAAUA
This is an RNA transcript of Parus major (Great Tit), 8733 nucleotides long. It is a transcript of the gene named transcription factor 3, with no coding region annotated. The record is from RefSeq and is a predicted model, not a curated record. The transcript is spliced from 21 exons. Lineage: Eukaryota; Metazoa; Chordata; Aves; Passeriformes; Paridae.